CCUACGGGAGGCAGCAGUAAGGAAUAUUGGUCAAUGGACGCAAGUCUGAACCAGCCAUGCCGCGUGAAGGAUGAAGGUCCUCUGGAUUGUAAACUUCUUUUAUAGGGGACGAAAAAAGGGAAUUCUUUCUCACUUGACGGUACCCUAGGAAUAAGCACCGGCUAACUCCGUGCCAGCAGCCGCGGUAAUACGGAGGGUGCAAGCGUUAUCCGGAUUCACUGGGUUUAAAGGGUGCGUAGGUGGGCAUUUAAGUCAGUGGUGAAAUCUCCGGGCUUAACCCGGAAACUGCCAUUGAUACUAUUUGUCUUGAAUAUUGUGGAGGUAAGCGGAAUAUGUCAUGUAGCGGUGAAAUGCUUAGAUAUGACAUAGAACACCCAUUGCGAAGGCAGCUUACUACGCAAAUAUUGACACUGAGGCACGAAAGCGUGGGGAUCAAACAGGAUUAGAUACCCUGGUAGUCCACGCCCUAAACGAUGGAUACUCGACAUCAGCGAUACACAGUUGGUGUCUGAGCGAAAGCAUUAAGUAUCCCACCUGGGAAGUACGACCGCAAGGUUGAAACUCAAAGGAAUUGACGG
This 578-nucleotide ribosomal RNA is filed under the name uncultured bacterium. RNAcentral describes it as "bacterial SSU rRNA". It matches the Rfam family "Bacterial small subunit ribosomal RNA", at positions 338 to 916 of the family's 1533-position model. The record is from RNAcentral.